Elaeis guineensis (African oil palm) is the source of this 1265-nucleotide long non-coding RNA. RefSeq lists it as uncharacterized. The record is from RefSeq and is a predicted model, not a curated record. NCBI's taxonomy places the organism in Eukaryota, Viridiplantae, Streptophyta, Magnoliopsida, Arecales, Arecaceae.
AUUUGACACGUUUUUGAUAUUAUCAACAUAUAUAAGAAAAUUUUGUAAUGGAGGAUCGUUAGUUAUAGACGUAGAAGAAGAUGAGUUGAAACUUUGACGCGACUCUAGAUGUAGGAAAAAUCCCUUGUGAUGGAGGAUCAUUAAUUCUAGACGUAGAAGAUGCAUGAGAGGAGUUCUCUAUUACCUCUUUGGGUUGAAAGUUCGACACGCUUUCGAUGAAGUCUUCGUUCUACGCAUAAGAAAAAUCUUGUGUCGACGGAGGACCAUUGUUUUGACGUAGAAGACGGGACGAGGUCUCUACCUCUCUUUGGGUUGAAAAUUCAACAGGCUUAUGAGAUCUCCCACAACAGUAUAUAAGAGCAAGGGAUGGAGAUUGGAAGGGCAUCAGAUACGAGAAUGGAGAAGAGAAGUGCUUGCAUGGUGGUGUUUCUUUUGGUGCUCAUUGCUUGUUCGGUUGAAGGAGUCAUGCCCCUUCAUACCAUCCAUGGUCCCGGUGGGCUAAAAUUACAAUUAGGCGGGAGAACAUUGCUUCGCUAUGACCCCGGUAAUGGAGUUCCUUCUCCGAAAGCAAACCAACAUGAUCAGGGCCGUCAAGGCUAAAGAAGAGAAUAGCAAGUUGGCUGUAGCAAUCAGUCAACCACAGCAUGGAUUUAUGGAGCGCAUAGGUCAACAUUUAAUAGGACCCAGCAGUUGUAGCUUUUUUUUUUUUUUUUUUUGGUAACAACAUUUGUAGCUGGAUUACGAGCACUACUCCGCAACCAAAAGGUCCAAAGCUAAUAAAAGAAAACAAAUAUCAUAAUAAUUUUUAUGAUGAUUUUUCAGUGAUGGCGUGGUGAUUGCAUGUUUUGAGAAUAACAGUGGACAGGCUUUUAUUUUUUUACAUUAUACAUAUUUUUGGUUAAGAGUCAAAGUCAUAUCCUGGGUUCGUCUUUGGCUCAACGCUAGUGGCAAGUGCUACCAUCACUGGAAGUGAUCGUCUAAAUAUAUUUAAUUGACAAGUUAGCGUUAAUAAAUUUAAUAAAUCAUGGUAGCUCAUAGGGCUCCCCAAAUAUCCAAGGCCCUCCACAAGUAACAGCAAGAAUCCAGAUAUCGACCCAGAAUAGAACCUUAUCCAAGACAUUAAUCGUGAGGAAAAUGUAUUUGCUUCGAUACAGGAAAUGUCCUUGCUAGGGAUCUUCCACUAAAGUACCUUACACCACAAAACAACUACAACAACAACAACACUAAGGGAAAAAAAAAGAAGGGGGGGGGGGUGGAGAGAAAAA